GAUGAGGUCUGGCAUCUCUCUUUCAGGGAUUUGGAGAUGGAACCUGGACAACUUAGGUAUGCUUAAAGAGCUGGAUAGAACUGGGAUAAGUAGACUUUGAUGCCAGAAUUGAAGCAAUAGUCAAACGCUACUGAAGCAAUGGGUGAUAAAUCUUUGUACAUGUUAAAAUAUUUGAUCACGGUGGCGAAACACGUCUGAGUGCAGCAGGGAAAGAGGCUAUAACCAGCCCUUGGGAUGUGUUGCGUAUUCCCACACCUAAUUAGAGCACAUUAAGCCUCCUCCCAAGACCCUACUGCAGAGCCCCAGCACCACCCUCCUCCUGCACCUUCUCCACGUUAUUUCCAGGUACCGUGCCGUUAUUCAGGCUAUAUAGCAUGGGGACAUGCACUAAAAUCUGUGGUCCCUGGAGAAAAAAGGUGCAACACUCCCGUGCCCCUGACAGUAACCAGCUGUUCUCCAGAUCCCAGCACUUUGAUCAUUUUGCAUGCAAAGGAUAAUUAUUUUUGUGGUUGAAACAAGGGAUGGAUUGCGGAUCGAUGGAGUUGGCUGUAUGUUCCUGUGUGUAAUCCCUGCCGCACCCCGUCAGAGCAUUUUCUUACGGAAGGAGCUUGAAGAAUGAUUUGUGGCUUGGAUUUCUGAUCCCUGGAUUACUACAGCCAGUGAUGGAAAGAAAAAAAGAAAUAAGAGUUAAAAAAAGUUAUAAUGCAUCCUGCAUGAGAGUCACUGAAGGCUGGGCCUCUUCUGGAGACCGUUUACUUAAAAUUUUAUUUAAAAUGUUUCCUGCUGGGUAUGUAAAGCACAACCUGAAAGCGCGGCUGUUCUCCAUCUCCAUAUUUCCACUUAUAACUGAACAACACAAGCCCACCUCUGAUUAAGUGAUCCACAGAAGAAAAAAAAAAUGCAAUCUGCCUCUCAAAUGUUAAUUAAUAGUUCCGUGAUUCAUUAAUGAAAAGGGCCGAGACAAGAAGAAGUAGGCAAGCAGGAAAGAGCCUGCAUAAAUUCGUGGGCAGCCCUGAUGGAAGUCUGCACUGAGACCGAGCAGCGUUUGCAGGAAAAUGGGGUAAGAAAGGUCUGCAGCAGGCCCCGGAGGAGGCGGAGGCAUUGCCUUGUGUUACAUGACGGCGUGCUUUUAUUAGUUUGAUGAUGUGCGGUGAGACUAUUUCUCUUGGAAAUCGGUCUUUGGUUAACAUUUCAUUUUCCUUCCCAAAGUCAGCUCUGGCUGGCAGCGAUAUGAAGCACAGCUCCCUGCAAUUGGCUGGCCCCAAACUUUAUUAAUACCACUUGUUGCUGCCAUAAAUGAUCUGUUUCAGGACAAGUAAUAAAGC
Long non-coding RNA from Oxyura jamaicensis (ruddy duck), 1325 nucleotides. RefSeq lists it as uncharacterized. Lineage: Eukaryota; Metazoa; Chordata; Aves; Anseriformes; Anatidae. The transcript is spliced from 5 exons. The record is from RefSeq and is a predicted model, not a curated record.